AAAGACAAACACACAUUACAUUCCUUGUUAUCUACGAAUUUUCUUCAAAUAUUGUACAAAAGUCUGUCAAAAAAAGCUACAAUUUUUAUUUUCAAGGGAGUGACUUCUUGCAACCAGAAUAAAUUUUAGGUAAUAAUUGAGAAGAGGGAUGAACCUGGAAGCUGGAAAAGAUGGUGGGUUGAAGGUGUUUGAUGUCAAAUGCUGGGAUAACGACAUUGGUUAAUGUUUGUUCCAAUUUUAUGUCCCCUAGUUCUUCCCUGAUGAGCUUGUGUAAAUACUUGCCGUCGUACUGUGGUCCUGUCAGAGUUCUUCCGAACUUCAUCGCCGUUGAGAAUAUAUUCCAGGGACUGUAUUUGGAAAAUCACACUGUAAAUCAGUACACGCUGAUAAAAUAUGAUUUAGAUUUGAAUGAUUUGGUAUGAAGUUUAUGGUAAAGUGUGGUAUUUACCUAUUCUGUGGGAAGAUAUUUGGGGAAUGCUUAAGGUAGAACUUCUUAAUAUCUUGGGCUGCAUACAAGGGUCGGUUAUCUUUAUUUGGAGCAGUGAGCAUUGCAGUGACUAAUCCACCGGUGCUUGUUCCUGCGAUCACAUCAAAGUAAUCUGCUAGUCUUGCAUCAGCACCAUCCAGCUUCUGCAUAUGCAUCAUUAUUAGUUAGUUGGCUUCAUUAACUACAGUUAAUUUACAUACAACGUUUUAUUCUUAGCUAGAAGAUUAUUACCUGAAGUUCUGAUUCAAGGAAAGCAAGUAAAACUCCUGGAAUGAUUCCCCGAAUGCCACCACCAUCGAUACUCAGCACAGUAAUCAGGUGUCCAUCGUCACUUUUUUGAGUUGCUUCCAUGGAUCUCAAUUGAUGACUUACUGAGACAAAGAGAAAGAGAGAGAGAGAGAGAGAUGGAAUGAAGUGAUCUUACGAAAGAGCAAAGAAAACUACUUCUUUUUCAGAAAAUUCUAAAUUUCAUGGCAUAAUUUGAUGAGGAGAAGCUGUAUAUUUAUACAUAAACCAUGUAAAGAAUGAACAAGUUGACGACUGAUUUAGCGCGUUGAAUUUGUUCCUACAAAAACAUGGAAAUAGGUAACUUGUUUCCACAACUUCUGUACUUUGCAUUAUAUUAAGAGCAAUGGUAACAUGUAAAAGUGUGUCAUGUUACCAUUGCUCUUAUUUUAAUCAGUUUUCACGUGUUACUUAUGGUUUUUGAUGGUGACAGGACAAUCGAUAGACGUAUGGAUAUAUAUAUAUAUAUAUAUAUAUAUAUAUAUAUAUAUAUAUAUAUAUAUAUAGAUGAACUAAGACUACAGAAAGAAAAGAAUUACUAUUUAGGCUGCUAAGAUGGUGUCUUUGACCACACAGCUGAAUGAUUUUGAAUGCUUAGGGCAACCCUUGUGUUGUGUUGUUUUUGCAGUACAUAAAACAAGGUUUUGAGAGUAAUUCUUCUCAUGGUAAUUGUGUCUUCUAGAGGAAUAGAGGAAUGAUUUCAAACAACCAAACCCUAAAUUCAAAAUCUGUGUUAAAGUCUCUGUUACAUAUAUUUUAUAUACGUGUUAUAUGCUAAAUCAACUUUUUGUUUAACUCCAUUUAUAUUUUGUGACACAAGUUUUUGUUUCACAGUAUUGUUAUAAUUUUCAAAUACUAAUUAAUUCACAAAUUCAUUUUAUGCAUUUUAAUGGGCAUGUUUUAGUCAAAUUAUAUCAUUUUUAAUGUGUGUGUGCAUACAGUAACUUAAAAUAGGUGUUUUUAGAAUUUGAUUGUAAUAUAUUUUAAAAGUUUUUCAUUGUCACUUAAUUGAGGAUUGUUAAUUAAUUGGUUAACUUUUAUGAUAAAUGUAAAUUAAAUAAUUUUUAAUAUAAAAAAUAAAUAUAUUAAAAGAAACAAUAGAGUCGUCCUAAUCUAUAUCCACAAAAAUAUAAACAAUUUUUUUAAUUAAUUAUUAAUGUAAACAAUUUUUCUAGAGAACAUUUUAAAAUUGGUAGGUAUCAAGAUUACUUAUUUUCAUAAUAAAUAAAUAAAAUGAAAAAAAAAAAAACUCAUCAUUAACGACAAGAAGUAAUAUUUAUUGUUAAUACCAUGGACUCUGAUGAAUCACGAGUCAAUGAGUCAAUGCAAAAACCUAAAAAAUUGGAAAGAAAUUACGAUAUUCCAACCAUCAUUAAUUAAAUAAUUUAUUAAUUUAUAAUAACGCGACUAUUAUUUUAUGAGGCACGUGCUAGGUUACAGGACUUAAUAUAUUAAUUUAUAAUAACGCGACUAUAAUUGUAUGAGGCGCGUUCUUGGUUUUUAAUUUUCUUUUCUGACUUGUUUAAAUGAUAAUUAAUUCAUUAAAUUCUCAAGACUUUUCAGACUCUUCUUGAUUAUUGGUUUAUAUUUUUUCCAUUUACACACAACAAUACUAGUACUCUUGAUAAAAAAAAAAAAAAAGAAUGGUUAUAAGCAAAAUAAAUAUGGUUCUUAUAACAUGCAAAUGUCUUGUCAUAUCAUUCCAUCAAGUUUAAUGAAUGACUUUUGAUAAUUAAAUCAAUUAUAAUCACAUUAAUAUCAUUUAGAAAUUAUAACAUUUAAAAAUUAUAAUAUGAUAUGGUCAAAUUAGAAUAAUGAUGAAAAAGAUUCUUUCACUAAUUUCAUAUUAUUAAUAAUUACUAAUAAUUAACCUUUAUCGAUAAAUAUUAUUAAUAAUUACUAAUAAUUGAAAAGAACGUUUUUUCUUUCCUCCUCGAAACGAUGUUAAAGUAAAAGAAUGAGCACAUCGAUGAUGAUGUUUUCAAGAUGAACUUUGUCUAAAGAGUAUAUUAUUACGUAAUAUUAUUUUGAUUAUCUUUAACCACAUAUAUACUAUGUUUUUCUUAUUGUACUUUGCAAGUGAAAAGAGAUAGACUUGUCAUGUAAUAUAUAAAGGCAAUGUUGUACUUAUUUAUUUGGAAAGUAAUAAUUUUAGGUUGAAUAUUAGAUAUAAAAGAAGUAGAUGGAAUACGAAUAAUCCAAAACACAAUUCCAACUUAUCCAAAAUCUUAUCAAGAUCCAAUCAAAAUCAAAUAUAAAAUUGGAGGGUGUGCUACCACAAUUAUUUAUGUAUAAAUAUAUAUAAUAAUGCUUUUUUAACUUAUGAAUGACAACUUGUGUAAAGCAACUUGUUUCUAUAAUAUUAUAAGUUUAGGGCACGUGUUAGAUAACAUUGCUUAUACAAGUUUAUAAACAGAUUAAAACUAACUUAAUUAUAUUUUCGUAAAAAAUGUAAAAAUGUAUUAAUUUAUGUUUAGGUUAAAAAGAUUUAAAAAAUUUUGACAAAAUUUGUAUAAAUUAGUUAUGAAUAACAUGUAUAAAAUUAUUUUAUGUUUCUUCUUGUUGUAAAAGUUUAUUUAAACAUAGUUUAUAUAUUUUUUUUAAAAUGACAACUCAUGAACAACCAGAGUUGUGUCCUGUGUUUAUUUUUUUUAUUAUAAGCUUAUUACAGUUUCAUCCCAUGUGAAUAAUUUAAUCCCCAUGUGAAUCAUUUAAUCAGUUUUUACAAUUAAGAAAUACAAAUAGCAUAGUAUAAGUACAAAUUAUUAUAAUAUAUUGAGGCACAUUAAUUAUUGUAAGACAAAAUUAAAGACUAAAUUCAAUUAAUAUAAGAAAUAAGUAUUUUAUUUUAUCCCCAACAUUGAUUACAUAUUUUUUUUUAUCAUUUAAAAGUAAAAUAAACUGUAGAUAAGAAAUUAAGCAAUCGUUUACAUAGUGCAAAUGCUCCAUUAAGAUGAAUUUUUUUUUUCUUUCUAAACUGUUGUAAAUUAUAUAUCCUAAAAUAUCAAAUGUUUAAAUAUAUAUUUAGUUCUUUAAGUAUAGUCACGUCUUACUUUUAACUCUUCCAAUUUUUUUCACUUUUUUGUGUUUGUAAAUUUUUGUUUUUGGUUUUAGUCUUUAGUAUUUUAAUUUAGUUCGUCUAAAAUCUUACUUUUUAUUUUCAUUUUUUCCUUCAAUAUAUAAAUUAUUACCCUUUUUUCUAUUAAAUGUUUGUCAAAGAAAAUGACCUAAAAUAUUUAAAAACUAUAAAAAAGAUCGUAGGACUAAAUUAAAAUAAUAAAAAGUUGUAGAACCAAAAAUACAAUACAACUAUAUUUCAAGAACUGAAACUAAUUAAAUAUAAAAUUGUAAAACUGUAUACAUUCAAGUCAAUCAAUUAAAAUACUCAACUAUUAUUAUUAUUAAUAUUAUUAUUAUUAUUAUUAUUAUUAUUAUUAUUUAUCAUAUACAAAUUUAUAAUACAGAUUUCAAAAAAUUUAGUUAUAAAAAAUUGUAUUCGUGAACUUACAAAAUACGUCACGUACAAUUAACUUUUUCUUUAUCAAUAAUUUUUUUUUAUUAAUUUUAAGCGUGAAAUACUUACAUUUAAUAUUAUUGUUUUAUUAUUAACUAAAGUUUCGAUUAAGUUUUAAAAAUAAAGUUAUGUAUAUUUAAAUGCCGAAUUAAGAGAUGACAACCAAUUAUUUAUUUAUUUAUGAGCACUGCAUCUUACAUUUUUUAAUUAAAUCAUAAUAAAUAUAUUUUAAUAGUUCUGAAAGAUUAUAUUAAGUGUAUAUAUAAGGAUGACAAUGGGUCGGGUCGGACACGGAUAGUGUUUAUCCGCAACUCGACUCACUGGAUAAAACUGUACCUAUUACCGGACCUGCUACCCGCUGGAUAUCCAAAUAGAAAAAAUACGUGAAUUUUUUUUAACAUGUGGAUAUUCCUUUUCAAUCUGCCAAUAUUUUUAAAAAAUUGUUGUAUAAGUUUUUAAAUGAAAUCCAAAUUAAAUUGUAAAAGAAAUACAAAUAAUAUUUAAAACAUAUAUCCAAAUAAAGUAAAUGGAUAAGUGAAGAGGUUGUUGCAUAGAUGCAAGAAGAAGCAAAAGAAUAAAACCUAAUUUAAACAUAAGGAUAAAAACUUAAUUUCAUUUUUUUAGCAGAUAACAGAUAUCGACGGGUCAAAUAGUUUAAUACUCACACUCGACCUAUUUAUAAACCGAUAUUAAAAUACCCGUUAGUCACAACCCAAGAUAUCCACGGGUGUGAAUUUUUUUUGUCAUCUUAUUUAUACCCUAUUUUUUAUUAUCAUAAUUAGGAUUUCUUUUUAAUAAAAUUUGUUAAGCUUUACUGAAAGAUUGGAUUAAUCAUUGACUGAUUUGAGUUUACUAAGUGAUUAAAACCUUUUGGUAAAACCCCGAGUUAUCACAACUUGUAUCUGCAAAAUUUCAUAAAUGUCACAUUUAAUCCUAGCUCCUUUUUUCAGCACUUUAUUUUCUAUCUCCCUAAUAAAAUUAUAUCUCCUUUUUAAAUAUUUUAUUUUAAUUAGUAGUUAUAAUUAUUAUCUUCUUUCAUACUUGCAAAAUGUAAAACAGAGCAAGUACUUCACAUUUUUAUGGUUGAGAAAUAAGAUACUUCACAUUUCGCUAAAGUUAGGGUUUUCUUUAAUAAGGCUCGAUGCAUCAAAUAAGUGGGAGCCAAUGAAAGUACCAGGCCUAUGAGGCGUUUCCUUCUGCACUUCCAUAAUUUCUUCUUACACCUCCAUACAUUUUAAAAUUUGAAUUUUAUCCUUUAUUUUUAUUUUGAAUUCUGGACUACAUGAAUUAGAAUUUUUAUGAAAUGUACAGUUUAAAAUAUAAAAACUAUAUUUCAAAAUGUAUAAAUGGAAAUAAAAAAUAAAAUAUAUAAUUUAGAUUGUAUAAUCUAAAAUAAAUAGAAAAAUUCAAAAUAUAUUUUUAAUUAUAUGUUACAAAUUGUAAAAUUCAGAAUACAAAAUUGAUAUUUUGAAUUAUAUCAUAAUAAAUAUAUUUUGAAAUUUAUGGUUCAAAAUUUAAAUUACAAAAUAAAUUCCAGAAUAUACAGGUUUGUUUUAAAGGUGAAAUGAACUUUUUUACGUUGUCAUAGUCAUUACAAAACACCUUUGUCAUUCUUUGUUUACAUGUUGUGAUUGAGAUAAAAUCAAGGAAGAAAGUGUGACAUCCCAACAAAGGUUAUUUGUACCUAGCAAUGAACUUUUAUUAUAAUGAUCAUCAUUCUAUAUUAUAUAUUUUCAUAUAAUUUGGAAUGUUAUAGAAAGCAUUACGAAUUGUGCAAUGUAGAUUAUGUAAUUUGAAAAAAAAAAUUGUAUGAAAAAAUAUUUUUAGUUUAUAUAAUUUGAUUUUUUUUUCAUAAAAAGAAUGUGAAUCUUAUAAUUCUGAAAUCAUCCUUCAUACUUCACCUUGAAAUAUUUAAUAAUAGUUAUUUGACAUAUAAAUAAAAUAAGACAUGCUUUUAAAAUAAAAUGAAGAAGCAAUUAGUAUAGUGUAAUCCAGAAUAAUUCCAUUACAAAGCCGUUGGUAACAUGAAAACAAAGAAACACGAAACGUUUACAGUACAUGAUAUAACACUGUAGGGACACUAAUUAUCGUGAUACAGACAAUGAACUAUAUCUUCACUGUAAUGAAAAAAACAAAAUAUAAAUAAAAUGAACACUAAACUAAUCAUUUUUCAUAUUGGCCAAGCACCAAGUAUCUCUUAUCUCUUCGUCUUUCAAGUAUUCCCAUUCUUCACAAACGUUUGAGAUUUCCGAAAUUUCUUCUGUUCAGACAGUCGUAUCGCAAACCUGACAGAAGAAAGAAAAAAUUCCUUUAAGAACUUUUGUUUAUAACUUUUUUAUAGUAACUUAUGAUUGGUCCAAUUUCAAAUAUGUUUUUUAACAUAAAUUCAAACAAAUCAAUAAAGUGAUGACACAUGUUUUGUUGUCAAAAAAUUGUUAAAAAAUUAUCAAAAUAUCAUGAUCCUAAAAGAAAAGGAUAAUGAUAUUUAGACAACAUUUUUUUGACAAUAUUUAAACAUUGAUUACGUGUUUAUGAUUAUUAUUAUUAUUGAUUGUGGAAUAAUUUUUGACCAAUCACAUAUUGACACAUAAUCAAUGUUCAAAUGUUGUCAAAAAAAUAUUGUCUAAAUAUCAUUAUCCAUUUUCUUUUGGAUAAUGAUAUUUAGACAACAUUUUUUGACAACAUUUGAACAUCAUCUACGUGUCAUUAUGUGAUUAGUUCAAAAUUACUCUAUAGUGAUUUUUGUGAUUAUUAUUAUUUAUUCUAGAGUAAUUUUAGAGAUAGUGAAAUGGUGAAACUCAUGGAUUUUGUUUACACAGUUUUUGUUAAAUUCUUAAAUUAUCGUGUGUGUGUGAGAGAGAGAAAGUAGGGUUUUGAUAUAUACCUGGUCAAGGCUUCUGCGUUGGUUUCGUUAGACUUAACAGGUUCAUGAAUACCAGUACUCAAGUUAAUCUUUGAAACUGGUUUCUUCAACAAUGCUUCCGCAACUUGGACGAGGCCAUUCAAAUUCUUCUCCGUGGCCCCGUCCACCGAAGAUAAGUCCCCAUUUAAAGUAUCGUCCUACAGAAUUUGAAUAUGAACAAUUCAACUCAUGAGUUUUCAUUUGCAAAUCACGAGAAUCAUUGCAGAUGUUUAUAUAUGUUUUGAAAGAACCUGGAUUCGGAGGUAGUUUUCUUCAGCGUUGCGUGCUUGGAAAACGGAGGAGAUGUGGAAAUCAACCAUGUCAGAACUUGCAUGACUGAAGACAUCNAUCAGAGGAUUGCCACCGGAGGAGAUAACCCAGCCUAAAACGCCCCAUUUAGAUGCCUUAGCAGCAUUGUAUUUCAUUUCAUGUUGCUGAGAACCUGUUCCCAACGAUAUCACCANAAACUUUUUGUAUUGCAACGGUUUUACAUUCAAGCUUCCACAUGACCCUUCAUUGCGGAUUUUGUUAGACACUUCUGCCAUGGCCACCAGUGCCUGGAAAACGCCAAAUUAUAGCAUAGCUAUCACGUGCUUGCUUGGUGAUUUUGUAAGUGUGUUUUAUACUUGUUAUAAAAACUUGAUUCACACUCCUUAGCUUGUAAGUGUGUGUUGAUGAUUAAGAUUAGUUUUGUAACAUAAUUUCAUGAAACUAUAUAAUACCGGAUUAUUUGCUGCUACACCACCAUCUACAAGGUCGAAUUUGAAACUACCAUGGUUGGUUUUGGUUUCAAAGGAAUGAGCUGGAAGAUAGGUUGGUGCUGCUGAGGUUGAAAUGCAUAUAUCAGACAACGACCCAUUCAAGUAUGGCCUCUUCUUCACCUGUGACAUCAUAUUCCAGAGUAAUAAUUUCGUCAGAGAAAAAGACAAACACACAAUGGGAUUCCUUCUUAUCUACGAUUUUUCUUCAAAAUUUGUAGCAAAGUCUGUAAAAAAAAGCUGCAAUUUUUGUUUUCAAGUUAGUGAAUUUUUGCAACCACGAUAUAUUUUAGGCAAUAAUUAGGAGGAGAGAUGAACCUGGAAGCUGGAAAAGAUGAUGGGUUGAAGGUGUUUGAUAUCAAAUGCGGGGAUAACGACAUUGGUUAAUGUGUGUUGCAAUUUUGUGUCCCCUAGUUUUUCCCUGAUGAGCUUGUGUAAAUACUUGCCAUCGUACUGUGGUCCCAUCAGAGUUCUGCUGUAUUUCAUCAAUGAUGAGAUUAAAUUCCAGCCACUGUAUUU
Molecule: long non-coding RNA, 8465 nt
Filed under: Vigna radiata
Lineage: Eukaryota; Viridiplantae; Streptophyta; Magnoliopsida; Fabales; Fabaceae
Description: long non-coding RNA (VRAD_LNC005738)
Source: RNAcentral